Molecule: ribosomal RNA, 227 nt
Filed under: Giardia duodenalis
Lineage: Eukaryota; Fornicata; Diplomonadida; Hexamitidae
Description: Giardia intestinalis partial 18S ribosomal RNA
Source: RNAcentral
ACACAAGCCAUGCAUGCCCGCGCACCCGGGAGGCGGCGGACGGCUCAGGACAACGGUUGCACCCCCCGCGGCGGUCCCUGCUAGCCGGACACCGCUGGCAACCCGGCGCCAAGACGUGCGCGCAAGGGCGGGCGCCCGCGGGCGAGCAGCGUGACGCAGCGACGGCCCGCCCGGGCUUCCGGGGCAUCACCCGGUCGGCGCGGUCGCGGCGCGCCGAGGGCCCGACG